Molecule: unclassified non-coding RNA, 271 nt
Filed under: Glomus sp.
Lineage: Eukaryota; Fungi; Glomeromycota; Glomeromycetes; Glomerales; Glomeraceae
Description: partial contains 5.8S ribosomal RNA and internal transcribed spacer 2
Rfam family: 5.8S ribosomal RNA (bases 1-71)
Source: RNAcentral
GUGAAUCAUCGAAUUUUUGAACGCAAAUUGCACUUUCUGGUACUCCGGGAAGUAUGCCUGCUUGAGGGUCAGUUAAAUAAAAAUCGGUGUUGUUGCUGCCUUUCGUGGUGACGCGUCGGAAUGGGGUCGUCUUACCUUCGGUUAAGUGACUUAGAAUUUUUGCAUGAUUUUCGAACGUAUUUAAAUCGCUGACGUACGUUUGAGAUAUCGAAUACUUUAGUAGGUUCGGUCAUCCUCAUGAUUCUCACCUAUAAUUUUUCAGUGAAUGACG